RNAcentral lists this ribosomal RNA (877 nucleotides) under Alloalcanivorax dieselolei. RNAcentral describes it as "bacterial SSU rRNA". It matches the Rfam family "Bacterial small subunit ribosomal RNA", at positions 55 to 922 of the family's 1533-position model. The record is from RNAcentral. Lineage: Bacteria; Pseudomonadati; Pseudomonadota; Gammaproteobacteria; Oceanospirillales; Alcanivoracaceae.
AUGCAGUCGAGCGGAACGAUGGGAGCUUGCUCCCAGGCGUCGAGCGGCGGACGGGUGAGUAACACGUGGGAAUCUGCCCAUUAGUGGGGGAUAACUCGGGGAAACUCGAGCUAAUACCGCAUAAUCCCUACGGGGGAAAGCAGGGGAUCUUCGGACCUUGCGCUGAUGGAUGAGCCCGCGUCGGAUUAGCUUGUUGGUGGGGUAAUGGCCCACCAAGGCGACGAUCCGUAACUGGUCUGAGAGGAUGGCCAGUCACACCGGGACUGAGACACGGCCCGGACUCCUACGGGAGGCAGCAGUGGGGAAUCUUGGACAAUGGGCGCAAGCCUGAUCCAGCCAUGCCGCGUGUGUGAAGAAGGCCUUCGGGUUGUAAAGCACUUUCAGUAGGGAGGAAGGCUUUGGGCUAAUACCCUGGAGUACUUGACGUUACCUACAGAAGAAGCACCGGCUAAUUUCGUGCCAGCAGCCGCGGUAAUACGAAAGGUGCGAGCGUUAAUCGGAAUUACUGGGCGUAAAGCGCGCGUAGGCGGUGUGUUAAGUCGGAUGUGAAAGCCCAGGGCUCAACCUUGGAAUUGCAUCCGAUACUGGCACGCUAGAGUGCAGUAGAGGGAGGUGGAAUUUCCGGUGUAGCGGUGAAAUGCGUAGAGAUCGGAAGGAACACCAGUGGCGAAGGCGGCCUCCUGGACUGACACUGACGCUGAGGUGCGAAAGCGUGGGGAGCAAACAGGAUUAGAUACCCUGGUAGUCCACGCUGUAAACGAUGUCUACUAGCCGUUGGGGUCCUUAGUGACUUUGGUGGCGCAGCUAACGCGAUAAGUAGACCGCCUGGGGGAGUACGGCCCGCAAGGUUAAAACUCAAAUGAAUUGACGGGGGCCC